AAUAGCUAUAUACUAAGCAUUUUUUAUUUGUUUUACUUUAUUUAAAGCCUAUUGUAUAUUAUCCCGAAGUUUCAUUCCAUAAAAAACAGAAAUAAGGAAAUUCGAUAUUUCGUGUACCAUCAGCAUCCAAAUUUUCAAGUAUACAGAAAUUUAACUUUCCGGAAUAUAACGGAAAUUUUCGGGUAUCUCCGUGGUACCAUCUCCGUGCAAUUAUGCAGUAUGGCGUUCAUCUCUUACGGAAAGAGAAUGGUAACUUGUUGCUGCUUGGGACAAUAAAGUUAAGUCAGCAACCGUCUACCAGACUGCAAGAUUCAUCUCUUCCAAAGGAUGUUGUACCUUUCCAGAUACACUGUGUUUUGUGUGGAUAAGAAAUGCAGAGUGGUACCACCAAUCACCUAAUGGGGACAGUUCCUGCAAUUUACAGAAAAGCUCUCAAUUGUAGCCCUACGAACUUCAGAUACUGCCGAUGGUGAAGCUUGGGUGCACUGGGCCGGUUUUCCAGCCGUGUGGAAUCAACAUCUCCAUCUGAACUGGGGCCGGGAAUUAUAUAAGACUCCUUAGCAGCAUGAGUGCCAGCCAGUCAUUGCUGUUCUUUGCAUUGCUGAGGAGGACAGUCCUGCCAACAUAACAGUUUGUUCAAUAACAGGAGACAAACAGAAACACAGAGGUGCUAUACAUUCUGAUGGAAAAACAAAAGCAUCUCCCAUCAUUUUGGCGUGGCUCAGAUCAAGAGGAGAAUUUUAAGAAAGGUGAUGGUUGGGCACACACAAGAAGACAUAGAUCACAGGUGUCUAGCCAUAUGAGUAGAUACGCUUCUCAAGAUCCCGCACUGCACACUAAGACAUAGUCUUUGACUACAACAAGGUGAUGAAAGUACAGAGAGGUCCAAUUGAAAUCAAUUCUGUGCUGCUGUCAUUUCUUCAUUCUGGAAGUCGAUGGACAUGAUUUAUCAUGGCAUCAAGUGUGCAGUUUGCCGACUACCAGCAGUCUUGUUCACCAGCUGUGCAACUUGAGCUGGUAGCUUUAUUGCUUGAAGCCACUGCAUAAGAGGGGUAAGGUGCAGGCUCAUCAAAAAGUCUCAAAAGUUGAAACUAGGAAAAGAAGUUUAUCAAGAGUGUGAAUCUAUUUUGAAAACAAUCGUAAACAUACUAUGAAUUGAGAUGCUUAAAUAAAAAACCGCUAUUCAAAUAUCAGGAAACUGCCUUUUUCAUACUAAAGGGUAAAUGAUGUCGCCAUUUCCUGUAUGUAUUUAAAUAAGAUAUGUCUCCACAAUUAAUAUUUUUAGGGAAUUUUUCUCAACCUAAUGAAUGAGAUUAAAUUGUACAGUGUUAUAUGAGCUUAAUAUGUGUUUUCUCAUUCUUUAAAAUUGGUGAAAAAUUGUCAGAAGAUAAUUAGACCAGUAUCCAUUACUGCAAUCAUACAAUCAAAUAUACAGGGACAAGCCCACUGGGCAUAUGAUAUAAUUAAACCCUGUUUAGGGGCACGAGGCAAACACUUUCAAACGUUAAAGCUGCACUCUCACACUUUGGAUGUUUUGACAACCUUUUUCAUUUUAUGUCUUGGAUUGGAACCAUCCAAUUUUUGCGAAAAAUUAAAUCCCAGAUUUUUCUAUUUAAGUUAAAACAUUGAUGUUUUUUAUGCACUUUUCUUAAACCGUUAGUAAAUAUUAAUUUUCGAACGGAAAUAUGAAAUCUGCGAUCUGAUCUUUUGUCAGGAAUCUUUUAUCAUUGGUUUGCAGAUAAUUACGCCAAAACUUGCUCAUUCCAAGACAAAAAAAGUUGUGGAAACGGUAUAUCUGUGAGAGUGCAGCUCUAAAUGUUUAAUUGCUUGAUUUUACUACUGUAUUAGAAAUUACAGGGAUUGGGGCAUAUUUUUAGUGUUUUUAUUGCUUGUUUUUGAUUCAUACAGUCAUACUUUAUUCUUCAGGGCACAACUUACAAAUAGACAAAACUGGAAAAUGGUCAUAUCAAAAGGUCAAAGAUAAUGCAAGUUGAACAAUCAUAUUGUUCAUGGCUUGUAUUUUUGGUAUAUUUUGUUGCAUAUGCUAUAGAAAAGUUGAAAGUUAAAAAUAAAUUCUUAGUUGAAAUGAUGGCUUUGAAUGGUAUUGUCAGAUGAGAAACGGCACUAUUAAGAAAUAGGUAUAAUGGUACUUUAUUUAUUUUAAUCAAUUUUAGAUAUUAUGAAAAUUAUUAUCUUAUUUAGUACAUGAGACCUUUUAAACAGUUAUUGACAAUAUAACAAUGUGUAUAUGAAGCUUUAGAACAACACUUAAAGCUGCACUCUUACAGAUUGUCAGUUUAGACACAAACUUGUCUCAAAAUCGGCUGAUUUGGUUAUCAUUCCUUUAAUUCAGUCAUAUUAGAUAAUUCACGAUAGAACCAAUCAAAAAUGUUUGGUAAAACUGCCGAAAAGUUCAUUUACAUUAAAUUGUUCGUAAUGCUUUUAGUCAUUGUUCGUAAUGCUUUUAGUCAUAAAACAUCAUUUUUUUAACAUAAAUAUGAUGAACUGCAAUAUGAUCUUUUUUCAGCAGUCUUAUAUCACUUCAAAUUGGGUCUAGACAUUUCUGCAAAAAAUACUCCAUUUAUAGACAAACAAUAAAAGAGUACCAGUAGUCAAAACGAUCAAUCGGUGAGAUUGCAGCUUUAAAUACACCUUUUAAGACCGCUGUAAAAUUCCAAUGGUUUGCCUAAAUCUUUAAAGCUAGCAUACUGUUUAAUUGACAACCAUACUUAUUGUUUAAAAGUGUCAUGAUAUCUUUGUACAAUGUUUUUAUAUAAUUCAUUAAAGAA
Molecule: long non-coding RNA, 2789 nt
Organism: Mya arenaria
Lineage: Eukaryota; Metazoa; Mollusca; Bivalvia; Myida; Myidae
Exons: 7
Source: RefSeq, a predicted model, not a curated record